UGUGUUUUGGAUUUUGGCCCCUUGUGUGAUUGAGUUUGACAUCCAUCCUUUAAAUAUUUCUUUAUUUAACUCCACCCUAUCUGUGAUUAGGCUCUUUUAUUUUCAAGUGGAGACGUGAACAUUUUGGUGACUUUCUCCUCAUUUAGAAACAAAACGUCAAAACUUGUGGUCAAACAGAGUUUGUGAAACUAUGGCCAAAAACAAGCAGCCAAACUCUGGUCCUCGAGGUCUACCAUCCUGGUUGUUGUCUAGCCGUCCCUGAGGGCUGCAGAACACCUGGAUCAGGUAAACAAAGUUUAACCCUUAAGGUUAGAACUGAAAACCCAGAAGCGGCCCUGAGUCCAUCCGGACGGCGCUCACCUGUUCGAUGAAGGACAGCAGAGCCUCGCGGUUGUUCUCCCACUCCAGCGGCAGCUCGCUCUCGUGGGGAAACUUGUCACAUCCCAGGAAGAUGGAGAGCUCGAAACAGUUUGUGUGCAGGUAACUGAAGUCGUUCAUGCCUGAGAGAGAAGCAUGUUCUCGUCAUCGAAGCAUCUGGAGACCCUGACCAAUCCGGAGUCCAGGAUUAGUUUUUGAUUUGAUUUUUAUGCCGAACUCUUUGACAGAUUGUCGUUGACAAAUAAUUGCUGAUCUCAAAGGGUCCAUAUCUAGUUAAACAAAGGUUCAAAUAAGUCAAAAGGUCUUGACCCCAUCUGAGCCCAAAUCACCUGGAAGCAGAACAUUUCCAUCCGUUAAACAUGAGCUCAUGAACCGCUACAGAUUUAGUCCAUCUUCUCUCCUGGUUGUUUACCGUCCAAAAUCGUUGUAGUUUUAUGUUUAUUUAAAGUGUAAUCAAUAGUAAGUGCCCACUUACUGCCCACCGCCGGCUUCCAGGCCGCUCUGUUGGUGAUGCCCUGCCCACCGGUGACGUCAUCGCCGUGACAGGAUCCUCGGUAGGUCUCCGUCAUGGUCAGGUGACUGUGGGCGUACGACAUGGCCAGCCAGCGGAACAUGGCGUCGUCCGGCGUCUCCCUCAGGGCUCCGGUGUUCUGCCGCUGGAUGCGGGCCCACGUUUCCUCGUUCAUCUCCGAGUUCACCCUCCAGCGCCGGUUGUCUGUGAGCUUGGACACCAAGGUUGGCCCCCAACACAAACGGGUUCCUCUCCAUCCAGGAAAUGAUGGCUCUGGUCUCCACUGCCAGCUGGAACGACGGGAUAGAAGGUCAAACCUGUUUGAAGGUCCAGAUUUCACGUGCUGUCGACAAACGGACUCACAGAACCGUUGAAGAAGUUUUCUGGUAUGGGGAUGUGAUGAUUCGGAACGAUCCGGGGAACCCAGCCCCGGUCCUCUGCGCCCCAUAAUAUGCUGUUCAGGUCUGGGAAGUUCUCAAAGAUGUCGUAACCUUCUUCAGUCCAGUGGCCCAAAGCCCAGUUUCCCAUCUCAGAACCCUGUGGCACAGCAGAACCACGUGAGGAGGUGAAGAAAACUGACAGAGAAGAGGAAAAAAAAAA
Long non-coding RNA from Oryzias melastigma (Indian medaka), 1489 nucleotides. RefSeq lists it as uncharacterized. The transcript is spliced from 3 exons. Lineage: Eukaryota; Metazoa; Chordata; Actinopteri; Beloniformes; Adrianichthyidae. The record is from RefSeq and is a predicted model, not a curated record.